GCCCAUAUUCCUGCGGGAAGCAGCAGUGAGGAAUUUUUCACAAUGGACGAAAGUCUGAUGGGAGCCUACCACGUGAACGAUGAAGGUCUUCUGAUUGUAAAGUUCUUUUAUUUAGGAAAAAAAGCGCUACAGGAAAUGGUCGCGCCCUGAUUGUACUAAUUGAAUAAGUGACAGCUAACUAUGUGCCAGCAGCUGCGGUAAAACAUAGGUCACGAGCAUUAUCCGGAUUUAUUGGGCGUAAAGGAAGCGUAAGCUGAAGUGUGUAUCCAUUGUUAAAAGUACUUGCUUAACAAGUGUUCGCGGUGGAGAUUACACUUCUAGAAUUAGUUAGAGGGCACUGGAAUUCAAUGUGUAGUGGUGGAAUACGUAGAUAUAUUGAGGAACACCGGAGGCUAAGGCGAGUGCCUGGGACAUAAUUGACGCUGAGGCUUGAAAGCGUGGGUAGCAAAUGGGAUUAGAUACCACAGUAGUCCACGCCGUAAACGAUGGGUAUUAGUCAUUUGAAUUUAAGUUGAGUGAUGUAGCUAACGCGUUAAAUACCCCGCCUGGGUAGUAUAUAUGCAAAUAUGAAACUCAAAGAAAUUGACGGGGACCUGAACAAGUGGUGGAGCAUGUUGCUUAAUUCGAUAAUACACGCAAAACCUUACCAAGGCUUGCAAUCUUCUGCAAAGCUAUAGAAAUAUAGUGGAGGCUAUCAGAAUGACAGGUGGUGCAUGGCUGUCGUCAGCUCGUGUCUUGAGAUGUUUGGUUAAGUCCCGUAACGAGCGCAACCCUUCAUAUUAGUUGUUUAGUUCUAAUAAGACUGAGUCGUAAGAUCUAGGAAGGAUGGGGCCAAGUCAAGUCAUCAUGCCCCUUAUGCCUUGGGCUGCAAACGUGCUACAAUGGUAGAUACAAUGUGUUACAAUCUAGCGAUAGUGAGUUAAUCACCUAAAGUCUAUCUCAGUCCGGAUAAAAGGCUGCAAUUCGCCUAUUUGAAGAUGGAAUCACUAGUAAUCCCGUAAGG
RNAcentral lists this ribosomal RNA (1003 nucleotides) under Mycoplasma suis. RNAcentral describes it as "bacterial SSU rRNA". It matches the Rfam family "Bacterial small subunit ribosomal RNA", at positions 329 to 1351 of the family's 1533-position model. The record is from RNAcentral. Lineage: Bacteria; Bacillati; Mycoplasmatota; Mollicutes; Mycoplasmatales; Mycoplasmataceae.